UGGGGAAUAUUGGACAAUGGGCGAAAGCCUGAUCCAGCCAUGCCGCGUGAGUGAUGAAGGCCCUAGGGUUGUAAAGCUCUUUUGUGCGGGAAGAUAAUGACGGUACCGCAAGAAUAAGCCCCGGCUAACUUCGUGCCAGCAGCCGCGGUAAUACGAAGGGUGCAAGCGUUACUCGGAAUUACUGGGCGUAAAGCGUGCGUAGGUGGUUCGUUAAGUCUGAUGUGAAAGCCCUGGGCUCAACCUGGGAAUGGCAUUGGAAACUGGCGGACUGGAGUGCGGUAGAGGGUAGCGGAAUUCCCGGUGUAGCAGUGAAAUGCGUAGAGAUCGGGAGGAACAUCCGUGGCGAAGGCGGCUACCUGGACCAGCACUGACACUGAGGCACGAAAGCGUGGGGAGCAAACA
RNAcentral lists this ribosomal RNA (402 nucleotides) under uncultured bacterium. Its description in RNAcentral is "bacterial SSU rRNA". It matches the Rfam family "Bacterial small subunit ribosomal RNA", at positions 355 to 774 of the family's 1533-position model. The record is from RNAcentral.